GAUGUUGGGUUAAGUCCCGCAACGAGCGCAACCCUUGCCCUAUGUUGCCAGCGGUUCGGCCGGGGACUCAUGGGGGACUGCCGGUGAUAAACCGGAGGAAGGUGGGGAUGACGUCAAGUCAUCAUGGCCCUUAUGCCCAGGGCUACACACGUGCUACAAUGGCCGACACAAAGGGCAGCAAUACCGCGAGGUGGAGCGAAUCCCAAAAAGUCGGUCCAAGUUCGGAUUGGAGUCUGCAACCCGACUCCAUGAAGCCGGAAUCGCUAGUAAUCGUAGGUCAGCCAUACUACGGUGAAUACGUUCCCGGGCCUUGUACACACCGCCCGUCAAGCGAUGGAAGCUGGGGGUACCCGAAGCCGGUGGCCUAACCUUCGGGAGGGAGCCGUCGAAGGUAAACUCAGUGACUGGCGCUAAGUCGUAACAAGGUAGCCGUAGGGGAACCUGCGGCUGGAUCACCUCCUUUCUAGGGAG
Molecule: ribosomal RNA, 471 nt
Filed under: Gemmatimonadales bacterium
Lineage: Bacteria; Pseudomonadati; Gemmatimonadota; Gemmatimonadia; Gemmatimonadales
Description: bacterial SSU rRNA
Rfam family: Bacterial small subunit ribosomal RNA
Source: RNAcentral